This 680-nucleotide long non-coding RNA is filed under the name Elaeis guineensis (African oil palm). Its description in RNAcentral is "long non-coding RNA (EGUI_LNC060761)". Lineage: Eukaryota; Viridiplantae; Streptophyta; Magnoliopsida; Arecales; Arecaceae. The record is from RNAcentral.
GCGCGAUGCCUUUCUGAACUCCCCCAGCCGUCUGAACUUCCACAAUGCCAUCUGGACUUCUCCAAUAAUGAGCUCCCCCAUUCAUCUAUCGGACUGCUCCAAAUACUCUCUGGGCUUCAUUAUCAGCCAACUUUUUAUAAUGAAUGGCUACCCUCUGAAUCUCUUCCAGACUUCUGUUGGAACUAGAUCUAGGGUUUCAGGGUUAGAUCUUGAAACUUUUUCAAGAUCAUACAGCGGAAGACUAAAAUAAAUCAAAAUUAUUUUCUAAAAUUAAAAAAUCUCUAGAUCUAAGAUCCUAUUACAUGAUUAUUACAUAGCAUUAAAUCAAAAAUUAAAAUAUAUAAAUAUAGCAUGAACUACAUGUUGAUCAUAUCAACAUGUUUCUAUACUACAUCUAAUGUAUGUAUUAAAGAAUAGAUCAGAUCUAUUACCUUGCAAGAUAGAUGUUCUAACCUCGUUGAUCCAAGCUUGAGGAUGAUGUUGCAAGCCGCACAUGCAUCCAGCCUCUAGGAGUCAUCCACACGAGCCCACGAAUCUCGAUCAGAAGUCCUGCUUCAGGAAAUCAGCAUAGUAUGCUAGUACUGCGCUGAUCCUUCUUUGAUGGUUGAUCAGGUACCUCCUUCUUCUUGAUUUGGACUCUUUCAAAGAUGAAAAUUAGAAGGAGGAGUUUCAGAUCUGAG